GAUGAAGAACGUAGCGAAAUGCGAUACUUGGUGUGAAUUGCAGAAUCCCGUGAACCAUCGAGUCUUUGAACGCAAGUUGCGCCCGAAGCCAUCAGGUUGAGGGCACGUCUGCCUGGGCGUCACAUAUCGUUGCCCAAUGCCUAUUGCAGUGCAAUAGGAAUUUCUAGGGCGAAUGAUGGCUUCCCGUGAGCGUUGUUGCCUCGCGGUUGGUUGGAAAUCGAGUCCUUGGUAGGGUGUGCCAUGGUAGAUGGUGGUCGAGUUAGAACGAUACCGAUCAUGUGCAUGCUCCCCAAAAUAUGGCCUCUAUGACCCACACGCGUCUUUUGACGCUCAUGACGAGACCUCAGGUCAGGCGGGGCUACCCGCUGAAUUUAAGCAUAUCAAUAAGCGGAGGA
Molecule: unclassified non-coding RNA, 395 nt
Filed under: soil metagenome
Description: partial contains 5.8S ribosomal RNA, internal transcribed spacer 2, and large subunit ribosomal RNA
Rfam family: 5.8S ribosomal RNA (bases 1-122)
Source: RNAcentral